ACGCCGCGUGAGGGAAGAAGCUCUACGGAGUGUAAACCUCUGUUAGGAGGGACGAAAGGCACCGAUGUGAAUAAUAUCGGUGAGAUGACGGUACCUCCAGAGAAAGCCCCGGCUAACUCCGUGCCAGCAGCCGCGGUAAUACGGGGGGGGCGAGCGUUGUCCGGAAUCACUGGGCGUAAAGGGCACGUAGGCGGACAAGUAAGUCGAAGGUGAAAUCCUAUCGCUUAACGAUAUGGACUGCCUUCGAUACUGCUUGUCUUGAGUGCGGGAGAGGGAGGCGGAAUUCCCGGUGGUAGCGGUGAAAUGCGUAGAUAUCGGGAAGAACACCAGUAGCGAAGGCGGCUUCCUAACCCGUAACUGACGCUGAAGUGCGAAAGCGUGGGGAGCAAACAGGAUUAGAUACCCUGGUAGUCCACGCCGUAAACGAUG
RNAcentral lists this ribosomal RNA (429 nucleotides) under uncultured bacterium. RNAcentral describes it as "bacterial SSU rRNA". It matches the Rfam family "Bacterial small subunit ribosomal RNA", at positions 394 to 811 of the family's 1533-position model. The record is from RNAcentral.